GUCAAAUAAGCAUAAAGCAGAGAAAAUAUUUUUCUCUUGUUAUGCAAAAUAUAAAAAAAAAAUAUACAGUUCUUUGAAAGACAUGCAGAUCUAAGGAAGACAGAUACUCAUUUUUUGGUUCAAUCUUGGCAAGAAUGCAGUAAUUUAUGCAAAGUUUCAUUCACAUUUAAAAGUAACUUCAAUUUUGCACUUUCAAAUUAAAGGUAUGCUACUACACAAA
RNAcentral lists this long non-coding RNA (220 nucleotides) under Mytilus galloprovincialis (Mediterranean mussel). The record is from RNAcentral. Lineage: Eukaryota; Metazoa; Mollusca; Bivalvia; Mytilida; Mytilidae.